UCUCUCUCUCUCUCACCGACCCAUACCCAUUUCUUAUACCCAAAAAGGUUUAGGUUUAAGCAAACUAGGGUUUGUCUUUCUAUCUCUAUCUUCAGUCCCAGUCGUCCGUACUCAGUAGCCAUGCCGCAGGGAGAUUAUAUAGAGUUACACAGGAAGAGAUUUGGUCGUCGCCAUGAUCACGAGGAGCGUAAACGUAAGAGGGAGGCUCGUGAAGUUAAGGAGCGCUCCCAAAAAGCCCAAAAGACGUUGGGUAUUAAGGGUAAAAUGCUUGCUAAGAAGCGAUAUGCUGAAAAAGCCCAAAUGAA
Molecule: non-coding RNA, 305 nt
Organism: Nicotiana tabacum (common tobacco)
Lineage: Eukaryota; Viridiplantae; Streptophyta; Magnoliopsida; Solanales; Solanaceae
Source: RefSeq, a predicted model, not a curated record